UGGCGGACGGGUGAGUAAUGUCGUGGGAAACUGCCUGAGGGAGGGGGAUAACUACUGGAAACGGUAGCUAAUACCGCAUAACGUCGCAAGACCAAGAGGGGGACCUUCGGGCCUCUUGCCAUCGGAUGUGCCCAGAUGGGAUUAGCUAGUAGGUGGGGUAACGGCUCACCUAGGCGACGAUCCCUAGCUGGUCUGAGAGGAUGACCAGCCACACUGGAACUGAGACACGGUCCAG
RNAcentral lists this ribosomal RNA (235 nucleotides) under uncultured bacterium. RNAcentral's name for it is "partial 16S ribosomal RNA". It matches the Rfam family "Bacterial small subunit ribosomal RNA", at positions 96 to 334 of the family's 1533-position model. The record is from RNAcentral.